RNAcentral lists this ribosomal RNA (521 nucleotides) under Scedosporium minutisporum. RNAcentral's name for it is "eukaryotic LSU rRNA". The stretch from base 170 to 321 matches the Rfam family "5.8S ribosomal RNA". Lineage: Eukaryota; Fungi; Ascomycota; Sordariomycetes; Microascales; Microascaceae. The record is from RNAcentral.
AUCAUUACAGAGUUACUACUCCAAACCCAUUGUGAACCUUACCUAUGUUCUGUUGCCUCGGCGGCGGGUCAGCGCCCCUCCGAAAAGAGGACGAUGCCCCCCGCCGGCAGCACCAAACUCUUGAAUUUUACAGCGGAUUACAGUUCUGAUUGAAACAAAAACAAGUUAAAACUUUCAACAACGGAUCUCUUGGUUCUGGCAUCGAUGAAGAACGCAGCGAAAUGCGAUAAGUAAUGUGAAUUGCAGAAUUCAGUGAAUCAUCGAAUCUUUGAACGCACAUUGCGGCGGCAGUAAUCUGCCGGCAUGCCUGUCCGAGCGUCAUUUCAACCCUCGAACCUCUGUUUCGUUAGCGAAGCUCAGGGUCGGUGUUGGGGCGCUACGGCGAGUCUUCGCGACCCCGUAGGCCCUGAAAUACAGUGGCGGUCCCGCCGCGGUUGCCUUCUGCGUAGUAAGUCUCUUUUUGCAAGCUCGCAUUGGGUCCGGCGGAGGCCUGCCGUCAAACCACUAUAACUCCAGAUGGU